Molecule: long non-coding RNA, 1080 nt
Organism: Olea europaea var. sylvestris
Lineage: Eukaryota; Viridiplantae; Streptophyta; Magnoliopsida; Lamiales; Oleaceae
Exons: 2
Source: RefSeq, a predicted model, not a curated record
CUCAUUUCAUAUGCUAAGGAAAUGGAAUUGCAAGUGGUUCUUCAAUGACUUAAUAUGAGAAAAUUAGGUCCAACACAUUUUUCUAAACUAAAAACGAGUCUAUUGAAAAAUAAUUUGAGAGAUCAUACCUAAAGGCUAAAAGUGCUGUUUUCAAAUAAGAAAAAAAAUUAAAAAGUCGUGUUUUAAGGGUAACAAAGUUUUGAGUUUUCUGCUAUUCAACACGAUUUACAUCAAAAGAAACUACCGAACAGUAAGCUGAGGAAGAAGACGACAGUGAAAUCACGAAGUACUGCAAAAUACAACCUUCAAAGAACUUAUCAAUUAAAUCACGAAAAUAGAAGAAAAAGAAGAAACCUUCAAAAUCAGAGCCCCACUGGCAGUCGCCGGAGCCGGCGCCGGCAUUCGUCUUCCAGCAACGGCUAACUCCGUACUUUAUUCAGCAAGGUAAAUUUGAUCAAACUCAAACCUGUACUAUAAUGCUGAUCGGAUAUGAUGACGAUGAGGAGGAAAACUAUAUAUGUUUCGAUUCCCCGUGGAGAUUGGUCGGUCUGCUCAUUAGAGUUCCGGACUUCGAAACUUCUGUGUUUCAAGAACUUCAGAGUCUGAACUCUGAAGGAAGAACUACCCAGUGACUUUGCUGAAACAUGCGACAAUCAAAUAUCGUUAGCAUAUUGAGGUUAAAGUUUAUUGUAAAAUAAUUGCCUAAAAAGUGUUUGGCUCUGCUAUUGUAGUAUGUGCAUGUUUGGUUUGCACAUUUAUAUCACAAUCUACUAAAAAAUCUAAUUUUAAUCUCCACCAAACAUCCUUGUUUCGUUCUGGUGACUGUCGAUACCUAAUCUCCACCAAACUAUCCUUUUGCUUGGUUCUGGUGACCAUCGAUACCUAAAUGUUUUAUGGUUGCUUUAUCUUUUUACCUAUAUGGCAAUUGUAUUUAAAAUACUCGGGAACUAGUAAAUAGCCACUUUGGUUUGGCUUGAUAUCGACCCGUAGAACUUUUUGAUUUGUCUUUCUAUGUUGUGAGUGUAUACUGUAAUUUGAUUUCAACUUAUUAAAAUAUAUAUAAGUUGGUUUGUUUUUUUA